RNAcentral lists this ribosomal RNA (1393 nucleotides) under uncultured bacterium. RNAcentral describes it as "16S ribosomal RNA". It matches the Rfam family "Bacterial small subunit ribosomal RNA". The record is from RNAcentral.
UUAGAGUUUGAUCCUGGCUCAGGACGAAUGCUGGCGGCGUGCUUAACACAUGCAAGUCGAGCGGGGAUAUUUGCGGAAGGUUUUCGGACUGGAAGUAAGUAUUCUAGCGGCGGACGGGUGAGUAACGCGUGAGCAAUCUGUCCCAGACAGGGGGAUAACACUUGGAAACAGGUGCUAAUACCGCAUAAGACCACAGUGUCGCAUGGCACAGAGGUAAAAGGAGAAAUCCGGUUUGGGGUGAGCUCGCGUCCGAUUAGCUGGUUGGUGAGGUAACGGCCCACCAAGGCGACGAUCGGUAGCCGACCUGAGAGGGUGAUCGGCCACAUUGGAACUGAGACACGGUCCAAACUCCUACGGGAGGCAGCAGUGGGGAAUAUUGGGCAAUGGGCGAAAGCCUGACCCAGCAACGCCGCGUGAGUGAAGAAGGUUUUCGGAUUGUAAAGCUCUGUCCUUGGUGACGAAGGAAGCGACGGUAGCCAAGGAGGAAGCCCCGGCUAACUACGUGCCAGCAGCCGCGGUAAUACGUAGGGGGCAAGCGUUGUCCGGAAUGACUGGGCGUAAAGGGCGUGUAGGCGGCCUGAUAAGUCUGGAGUGAAAGUCCACUUUUCAAGGGUGGAAUUGCUUUGGAUACUGUUAGGCUUGAGUGCGGAAGAGGUAAGUGGAAUUCCCAGUGUAGCGGUGAAAUGCGUAGAGAUUGGGAGGAACACCAGUGGCGAAGGCGGCUUGCUGGACGAUAACUGACGCUGAGGCGCGAAAGCGUGGGGAGCAAACAGGAUUAGAUACCCUGGUAGUCCACGCUGUAAACGAUGAAUACUAGGUGUGGGAGGACUGACGCCUUCCGUGCCGCAGUUAACACAAUAAGUAUUCCACCUGGGGAGUACGACCGCAAGGUUGAAACUCAAAGGAAUUGACGGGGGCCCGCACAAGCAGUGGAUUAUGUGGUUUAAUUCGACGCAACGCGAAGAACCUUACCAGGGUUUGACAUCCAACUAACGAAGUAGAGAUACAUUAGGUGCCCUUCGGGGAAAGUUGAGACAGGUGGUGCAUGGUUGUCGUCAGCUCGUGUCGUGAGAUGUUGGGUUAAGUCCCGCAACGAGCGCAACCCCUAUUGUUAGUUGCUACGCAAGAGCACUCUAGCGAGACUGCCGUUGACAAAACGGAGGAAGGCGGGGACGACGUCAAAUCAUCAUGCCCCUUAUAUCCUGGGCUACACACGUAAUACAAUGGUGGUUAACAGAGGGAGGCAAUACAGUGAUGUGGAGCAAACCCCCAAAAACGGUCUCAGUUCGGAUUGCAGGCUGCAACUCGCCUGCAUGAAGCUGGAAUUGCUAGUAAUCGUGGAUCAGCAUGCCACGGUGAAUACGUUCCCGGGCCUUGCACACAACGCCCGUCA